Molecule: long non-coding RNA, 272 nt
Filed under: Aquila chrysaetos chrysaetos
Lineage: Eukaryota; Metazoa; Chordata; Aves; Accipitriformes; Accipitridae
Description: lncRNA (ENSACCG00020000275.1)
Source: RNAcentral
GAUGAAGAGAGGUUUGCAUUUUCAUUUGAAUAUAAGCAGACAACCAGACAUGAUUCUUUCUACCUAUCACACCAUCCAGUCUGUUUUCUGCUGCUGCUGCUGCUGCUGCACAGUGCAAAAAAGAGCAAUGAGAACAAAAAUGAACCUGGACCCUGAUACUGGCCUCAUGACCCAGUACUCGGCCUCACAAUUAGGUGUUUCCUAUGCAUCCACUCAGAAGUACAGGGUAAGUAAUGUUUUGGCAGGUGAAAAGAGAGAAUUGGGGUGAUGUG